UUGUUUGUAGUCCAAUGGUUUGGGUUAUUGCCUUCCAAGCAAUAGGCACGGGUUUGAUCCCCGACAAACGCA
Molecule: transfer RNA, 72 nt
Filed under: Salvia splendens (bonfire salvia)
Lineage: Eukaryota; Viridiplantae; Streptophyta; Magnoliopsida; Lamiales; Lamiaceae
Rfam family: tRNA
About the family: Transfer RNA (tRNA) molecules are approximately 80 nucleotides in length. Their secondary structure includes four short double-helical elements and three loops (D, anti-codon, and T loops).
Source: Rfam by way of RNAcentral